Molecule: non-coding RNA, 71 nt
Organism: Ictidomys tridecemlineatus (thirteen-lined ground squirrel)
Lineage: Eukaryota; Metazoa; Chordata; Mammalia; Rodentia; Sciuridae
Source: Rfam
GGGAUUGUGGCUCAGCAGUAGAGUGCUCACCUAGCAAGGGUGGGAUCUGGGUUCGAUUCUCAGCACCACCU